This is a small nuclear RNA of Erpetoichthys calabaricus (reedfish), 164 nucleotides long. Its record names the gene U1. It matches the Rfam family "U1 spliceosomal RNA". Rfam says of the family: U1 is a small nuclear RNA (snRNA) component of the spliceosome (involved in pre-mRNA splicing). Its 5' end forms complementary base pairs with the 5' splice junction, thus defining the 5' donor site of an intron. The record is from Ensembl. NCBI's taxonomy places the organism in Eukaryota, Metazoa, Chordata, Cladistia, Polypteriformes, Polypteridae.
AUACUUACCUGGCAGGGGAGAUACCAUGAUCACUAAGGUGGUUCUCCCACGGUGAGGCUCAUCCAUUGCACUCCGGGUGUGCUGACCCCUGUGAUUUCCCCAAACGUGGGAAACUCAACUGUUUUUAGGUGGAGUGGUGGCUCUGAAGUAGGCAUCUGCACUGG